AGAACGAACGCUGGCGGCAUGCCUAAUACAUGCAAGUCGAACGAACACUUCGGUGUUAGUGGCGCACGGGUGCGUAACGCGUGGGAAUCUGCCCUUGGGUUCGGAAUAACAGUUGGAAACGACUGCUAAUACCGGAUGAUAUCGAAAGAUCAAAGAUUUAUCGCCCAGGGAUGAGCCCGCGUAGGAUUAGCUAGUUGGUGAGGU
Molecule: ribosomal RNA, 204 nt
Filed under: uncultured soil bacterium
Lineage: Bacteria
Description: partial 16S ribosomal RNA
Rfam family: Bacterial small subunit ribosomal RNA
Source: RNAcentral